Molecule: ribosomal RNA, 440 nt
Filed under: uncultured bacterium
Lineage: Bacteria
Description: partial 16S ribosomal RNA
Rfam family: Bacterial small subunit ribosomal RNA
Source: RNAcentral
CCUACGGGUGGCAGCAGUGGGGGAUAUUGCACAAUGGGGGGAACCCUGAUGCAGCGACGCCGCGUGGGUGAAGGAGCGUUUCGGCGCGUAAAGCCCUAUCGGCCGGGAAGAAGAUGACGGUACCUGACCAAGAAGCCCCGGCUACCUACGUGCCAGCAGCCGCGGUAAUACGGAGGGGGCAAGCGUUAUCCGGAUUUACUGGGUGUAAAGGGAGCGUAGACGGGAGCACAAGUCUGGAGGGAAAUGCCGGGGCUUAACCCCGGAACUGCUGUGGAAACUGUGCAGCUAGAGUGCAGGAGAGGUAUGUGGAAUUCGUAGUGUAGCGGUGAAAUGCGUAGAUAUUAGGAGGAACACCAGUUGCGAAGGCGGCUUACUGGACUGUAACUGACGUUGAGGCUCGAAAGUGUGGGGAGCAAACAGGAUUAGAUACCCCAGUAGUC